This 439-nucleotide ribosomal RNA is filed under the name uncultured bacterium. Its description in RNAcentral is "bacterial SSU rRNA". It matches the Rfam family "Bacterial small subunit ribosomal RNA", at positions 339 to 794 of the family's 1533-position model. The record is from RNAcentral.
AUACGGGAGGCAGCAGUAGGGAAUAUUGCACAAUGGACGCAAGUCUGAUGCAGCAACGCCGCGUGCUCGAUGAAGGCCUUCGGGUUGUAAAGGGCUUUUCGGGGAGAUGAGGAAGGACAGUAUCCCCGGAAGAAGGAUCGGCUAACUACGUGCCAGCAGCCGCGGUAAAACGUAGGAUCCGAGCGUUAUCCGAAUUCACUGGGCGUAAAGCGCAUGCAGGCGGCCGAACAAGUUGGAUGUGAAAGCUCCCGGCUCAACUGGGAGAGGACGUACAAGACUGUUUGGCUCGAGGACGGUAGAGGGAGGUGGAAUUCCCGGUGUAGUGGUGAAAUGCGUAGAUAUCGGGAGGAACACCAGAGGCGAAGGCGGCCUCCUGGACCGGACCUGACGCUCAGAUGCGAAAGCUAGGGGAGCGAACGGGAUUAGAUACCCCGGUAGC